UACAGAGGUCUCAAGCGUUGUUCGGAUUCAUUGGGCGUAAAGGGUGUGUAGGUGGCGCGCUAAGUCGGGUGUGAAAUUUCGGAGCUUAACUCCGAAACUGCAUUCGAUACUGGCGUGCUUGAGGACUGGAGAGGAGACUGGAAUUUACGGUGUAGCAGUGAAAUGCGUAGAUAUCGUAAGGAAGACCAGUGGCGAAAGCAGGCUACUGGACCGUCACUGACUCUGAUCUGCGAAAGCUAGGGGAGCAAACAGG
This 253-nucleotide ribosomal RNA is filed under the name uncultured bacterium. RNAcentral's name for it is "partial 16S ribosomal RNA". It matches the Rfam family "Bacterial small subunit ribosomal RNA", at positions 524 to 776 of the family's 1533-position model. The record is from RNAcentral.